This 792-nucleotide ribosomal RNA is filed under the name uncultured bacterium. RNAcentral describes it as "bacterial SSU rRNA". It matches the Rfam family "Bacterial small subunit ribosomal RNA", at positions 60 to 866 of the family's 1533-position model. The record is from RNAcentral.
AGUCGACGAGCGAGAGAGAGCUUGCUUUCUCGAGCGAGUGGCGAACGGGUGAGUAACGCGUGAGGAACCUGCCUCAAAGAGGGGGACAACAGUUGGAAACGACUGCUAAUACCGCAUAAGCCCACGACCCGGCAUCGGGUAGAGGGAAAAGGAGCAAUCCGCUUUGAGAUGGCCUCGCGUCCGAUUAGCUAGUUGGUGAGGUAACGGCCCACCAAGGCGACGAUCGGUAGCCGGACUGAGAGGUUGAACGGCCACAUUGGGACUGAGACACGGCCCAGACUCCUACGGGAGGCAGCAGUGGGGAAUAUUGCACAAUGGGGGAAACCCUGAUGCAGCGACGCCGCGUGGAGGAAGAAGGUCUUCGGAUUGUAAACUCCUGUUGUUGAGGAAGAUAAUGACGGUACUCAACAAGGAAGUGACGGCUAACUACGUGCCAGCAGCCGCGGUAAAACGUAGGUCACAAGCGUUGUCCGGAAUUACUGGGUGUAAAGGGAGCGCAGGCGGGAAGACAAGUUGGAAGUGAAAUCCAUGGGCUCAACCCAUGAACUGCUUUCAAAACUGUUUUUCUUGAGUAGUGCAGAGGUAGGCGGAAUUCCCGGUGUAGCGGUGGAAUGCGUAGAUAUCGGGAGGAACACCAGUGGCGAAGGCGGCCUACUGGGCACCAACUGACGCUGAGGCUCGAAAGUGUGGGUAGCAAACAGGAUUAGAUACCCUGGUAGUCCACACUGUAAACGAUGAUUACUAGGUGUUGGAGGAUUGACCCCUUCAGUGCCGCAGUUAACACAAUAAGUA